RNAcentral lists this ribosomal RNA (159 nucleotides) under Russula sp. RNAcentral describes it as "partial large subunit ribosomal RNA". It matches the Rfam family "Eukaryotic large subunit ribosomal RNA", at positions 106 to 260 of the family's 3401-position model. Lineage: Eukaryota; Fungi; Basidiomycota; Agaricomycetes; Russulales; Russulaceae. The record is from RNAcentral.
AGCUCAAAUUUUGAAUCUGGCGUCUUUGGCGUCCGAGUUGUAAUUUAGAGAAGCGUCUUCCGCGCUGGACCGUGCACAAGUCUCCUGGAAUGGAGCGUCAUAGAGGGUGAGAAUCCCGUCUUUGGCACGGACUCCCGGUGCUUUGCGAUGCGCUCUCGA